AUAGUGANUAUUACCUGCUCUAUGAAUUUUAUAUUUAAAUGGCCGCGGUAGCCUGACUGUGCGAAGGUAGCAUAAUAAUUUGCCCUAUAAUUGAGGGCUGCAUGAAUGGUUUGACGAGAACAUAACUGUCUCUUAUUAAUUUUUUAGAAUUUUACUUUUAAGUGAAAAGGCUUAGAUAUAAUUAAAAGACAAGAAGACCCUAUUGAGUUUUAAUUUUAAUAAUAAUUAUUGAGAUUGUGAGAGUUUAUUAAUUAUUUAUAUAAAUUUUGGUUGGGGAAACCGGGAAGUAUACAAAGCCUUCUUUUAAUAUAAUUAUUAAUUAAUUUUGAUCCAUGUUUUGUGAUUAAAAGAAUAAAUUACCAUAGGGAUAACAGCAUAAUUUUUUUUAAGAGUUCAUAUUAAAAAAGAAGUUUGUGACCUCGAUGUUGGAUCAAAACGUCCUAAAGGUGCAGGAGCUUUUAAGGGUUGGUCUGUUCGACCAUUAAAGUUUUA
Molecule: ribosomal RNA, 492 nt
Filed under: Volvarina sp. MNHN-IM-2013-60956
Lineage: Eukaryota; Metazoa; Mollusca; Gastropoda; Neogastropoda; Marginellidae
Description: partial 16S ribosomal RNA
Rfam family: Bacterial large subunit ribosomal RNA
Source: RNAcentral